This 385-nucleotide ribosomal RNA is filed under the name uncultured bacterium. Its description in RNAcentral is "bacterial SSU rRNA". It matches the Rfam family "Bacterial small subunit ribosomal RNA", at positions 29 to 414 of the family's 1533-position model. The record is from RNAcentral.
AUUGAACGCUGGCGGCAUGCUUUACACAUGCAAGUCGAACGGUAACAGGGAGCUUGCUCCGCUGACGAGUGGCGAACGGGUGAGUAAUGCAUCGGAACGUACCCAGUCGUGGGGGAUAACGUAGCGAAAGUUACGCUAAUACCGCAUACGUCCUGAGGGAGAAAGCGGGGGACCGUAAGGCCUCGCGCGAUUGGAGCGGCCGAUGUCGGAUUAGCUAGUUGGUAGGGUAAAGGCCUACCAAGGCGACGAUCCGUAGCGGGUCUGAGAGGAUGAUCCGCCACACUGGGACUGAGACACGGCCCAGACUCCUACGGGAGGCAGCAGUGGGGGAAUUUUGGACAAUGGGCGAAAGCCUGAUCCAGCCAUGCCGCGUGAGCGAAGAAGG